AAUAAUAAAAUUUAUAAUUUCAGUAAAUUAUUAAUUUAUAAUAUGAAUGAGACCACUAAGUUGUGUAAGAGUUUAAAAAAAAUAUCAUCUUACUAAUUUAUUAAAGCUAUUAACUUAAUUCUUCGGCCCAAGUCAAUAAAACAAAAAAACUAUUAUGUAAUAGAGGUUGUUAAUUUAGUGGGUAUUAAAUGAUAGAUGUUUUACUGUGAAGGAAAACACUAAGGUAGCGUUUACUUUUUAGAUUGGAUUGGGAAUCCUAAGGAGUGGGAAUCCUAGGAUUGAGAAUGUGGAGUGGGAGUGGGAGUAGGUUAUUUACUUACACUGGAAUGGAAGUAUGGAUUAGAGAUCAGAAUCCAAUUUAUGUGUUUACUUUGUCUUGGAUUGAGAGUAAAUAGUUUCAAAUUACAAUUUUAUCCUUAUUUAAAGAAUUAUAG
Molecule: long non-coding RNA, 434 nt
Filed under: Citrus x clementina
Lineage: Eukaryota; Viridiplantae; Streptophyta; Magnoliopsida; Sapindales; Rutaceae
Description: Citrus clementina (C. clementina) long non-coding RNA (CCLE_LNC004670)
Source: RNAcentral